This 436-nucleotide ribosomal RNA is filed under the name uncultured bacterium. RNAcentral describes it as "bacterial SSU rRNA". It matches the Rfam family "Bacterial small subunit ribosomal RNA", at positions 26 to 507 of the family's 1533-position model. The record is from RNAcentral.
AGAGCGAACGCUGGCGGCAGGCUUAACACAUGCAAGUCGAACGGGCGUAGCAAUACGUCAGUGGCAGACGGGUGAGUAACACGUGGGAACGUACCUUUGGUUCGGAACAACACAGGGAAACUUGUGCUAAUACCGGAUAAGCCCUUACGGGGAAAGAUUUAUCGCCGAAAGAUCGGCCCGCGUCUGAUUAGCUAGUUGGUGGGGUAACGGCUCACCAAGGCGACGAUCAGUAGCUGGUCUGAGAGGAUGAUCAGCCACAUUGGGACUGAGACACGGCCCAAACUCCUACGGGAGGCAGCAGUGGGGAAUAUUGGACAAUGGGCGAAAGCCUGAUCCAGCCAUGCCGCGUGAGUGAUGAAGGCCCUAGGGUUGUAAAGCUCUUUUGUGCGGGAAGAUAAUGACGGUACCGCAAGAAUAAGCCCCGGCUAACUUCGUG